GGGCGUAUAGCUCAGUUGGUUAGAGCGUCACGUUGACAUCGUGAAGGUCACAGAUUCGAGUUCUGUUACGCCCACCA
This 77-nucleotide transfer RNA is filed under the name Victivallis vadensis. Its description in RNAcentral is "tRNA-Val". It matches the Rfam family "tRNA". From Rfam's summary of the family: Transfer RNA (tRNA) molecules are approximately 80 nucleotides in length. Their secondary structure includes four short double-helical elements and three loops (D, anti-codon, and T loops). The record is from RNAcentral. Lineage: Bacteria; Pseudomonadati; Lentisphaerota; Lentisphaeria; Victivallales; Victivallaceae. RNAcentral also lists the same sequence under 2 other names.